Small nucleolar RNA from Eurypyga helias (sunbittern), 68 nucleotides. It matches the Rfam family "Small nucleolar RNA SNORD18". From Rfam's summary of the family: U18 is a member of the C/D class of snoRNA which contain the C (UGAUGA) and D (CUGA) box motifs. The record is from Rfam. NCBI's taxonomy places the organism in Eukaryota, Metazoa, Chordata, Aves, Eurypygiformes, Eurypygidae.
UCAGAAUGAUGAACUCCUCACUGGUCCGUGUUGCAGACAAGCAGUGACGACUGUGAAGUUCUGACUAA